This 427-nucleotide ribosomal RNA is filed under the name uncultured beta proteobacterium. RNAcentral describes it as "partial 16S ribosomal RNA". It matches the Rfam family "Bacterial small subunit ribosomal RNA", at positions 355 to 774 of the family's 1533-position model. Lineage: Bacteria; Pseudomonadati; Pseudomonadota; Betaproteobacteria. The record is from RNAcentral.
UGGGGAAUUUUGGACAAUGGGGGAAACCCUGAUCCAGCCAUGCCGCGUGCGGGAAGAAGGCCUUCGGGUUGUAAACCGCUUUUGUUCGGGAAGAAAAGGCCAAGGCUAAUAUCCUUGGUUCUUGACGGUACCGGGAGAAUAAGCACCGGCUAACUACGUGCCAGCAGCCGCGGUAAUACGUAGGGUGCGAGCGUUAAUCGGAAUUACUGGGCGUAAAGCGUGCGCAGGCGGUAAGUUAAGUCUGAUGUGAAAGCCCCGGGCUCAACCUGGGAAUGGCAUUGGAAACUGGCUUGCUUGAGUGUAGCAGAGGGGGGUGGAACUCCGCGUGUAGCAGUGAAAUGCGUAGAGAUGCGGAAGAACACCGAUGGCGAAGGCAGCCCCCUGGGCUAACACUGACGCUCAGGCACGAAAGCGUGGGGAGCAAACA